GCAAAACGUCUCCGCCUGCUGCUGCCUAAUGGAGCCCCCGAAAGGCUUCUUCGGCAUGGCGAGGAGGAGAACUGGAGAAACACAGGUAGCGAGGCUGCCCGUUUAGAAGGGCCACUGCCUGCAUUUUAAAGGGAGAAAAUACCAGAUAUUAAAGGGCUCUUCAGUCUAGCAGAAGAAGGCAUAACAAGAACCAAUGGCUGGAAGCUGAAGCUGGAUAUUCACAUUUGAAAUUAGGCACAAUACUUUUAACCUUUGGGACCAACUACCAAGGGAAGUGAUUGGUUCUCCAUCUCUUGACGCCUUCCGCUCAAGACUGAUGCCUUUCUGGAAGUUAUGCUUUAGUGAACACACAAGUUAUAGGGCUCAGUACAGGACUAACUGGUGAAAUGUAAUGGCCUAUGAAAUACGGGAGGUCUGACUAGAUGAUCUAAUGGUCCUUUCUGGCCUUAAACUCUUUGAAUCUAUGAAUUUGACCCUGUCUUUUUUAUGAUAAUUGACUACAGAUUGGACUGAGCUGAUAUGUGGUUGAAUGAGCCUUUACUCAGUGGUAUGUCGUACUCUGGUGCUCCCAUUUGUUUCUGUGGAAUGUAAGCUUUCAUUUGCUGAAAAAUAUUAAAUUUCUAACCUUUAUGGCUGUUAAGAAACCCUUGGGAUAUAAACCUAUGUACUGUGCACUUGCUGUAGGCACACACAGCCUGAAACUGUAGCUCUGAAAUGUGAAUUAUACACACUCAUUUCCAGGUGAUGUUAAUUCAGAAGCCUAAUGAUGACAAUUAAAAUGUUGCUAUCGUGAACAAUUUCAGCACCAAUCACUUUAGCAAACAAAUUGUCUGAAAUCAAUGGAACUGUGUUGCCAAUUUACACUAACUGAGGAUCUCUGUUUAGAAAUUUCUUUGUCAAACAGAAAGCAAACAGCAAAAAUAUAAUAUAAUAUAUGGAGAUAUCCCAUCUCCUAGAACUGGAAGGGACCUUGAAAGGUCAUCGAGUCCAGCCCCCUGCCUUCACUAGCAGGACCAAGUACUGAUUUUGCCCCAGAUCCCCAAGUGGCUCCCUCAAGGAUUGAACUCACAACCCUGGGUUUAGCAGGCCCAUGCAUAAUGCUUGCUUUAAAAUCUUCUCUGUGCUUUGGGUUGCUCGUGCUGAUGUAAUCUGGAAUUCCCCAUUAACUGCAUAUAGAAUAGAUACCAGGAAAAUAUUAAUAAUUCCAUGAGAGUUCUGUUCUGUAAAACAAGAACACAGAGCUUCUGAUGAGAUUCUGGCACCAUAAUGCAAAAUGUUCCUUUUUGAUAUCAUACAAAUUUAAAGCAAUCCUUCCUCUCAAAAUCCUUAACCUUCUUUUCUCAUGUCUGUCUAUCUCGGGUGAAGCAGCUCCCUAGGGAGCACUACCCAAAAGCUGCCUUUGAAGAAGUACUCGAGUGACCCUCUGUGAAGUGCUAUGUUCUGAAGCCUACUUGCACCUCCCCUUUUAAAUUGCUUUCUAAACUGCAGUCCCACUAAAAUAAAUAAAUAAAUAAAUGUUAAGAUGUUUACAUUGGGUGGGCAAAGUAGUUCACUGUGGAUUUGUCAUCAUUUACAUUAGGCUAUUUUUAUAAAACACUUCCAGUGUUUGUAAAGCUAUCGUCCAUUUUGCUCCAUAUAGAUCAUUGUUAUAAAGGACCAAUUCACUUUCCUCACACACAACUCAGUGGGGCUGGACACAUCAAUAAAGUAGGCAAUGGCUUGAGAAAAUAGCCCUCAAUAAGGACUUUCUAAAAAAUGGUCUGAGAAAUUCUCUUUUGUUGCAGAAAUUUCAGUAAUAGUGACCUUCUCAUUUCUUUAGACAUCCAGGAACUCCAAAUACAAAGAACGACAACAAAACAUGAUUCAGGAUUUCCCCUUCGCACUGUAUUAUGAAGAAACUCUCAUUCCUUCUUAGUCAUUCAUUGCAUGACAUUUUUUUCAGAAGUUGGUGAAUUGGUGUUCUGGAAAGGAGCAAUAUUGGGUUCUAGUCAUUUUAAUGCAUGAACACAGUGGAGAACAAACAAAGAUGGUUUCUCUUUUAUUUUCAUUUUCUUUAACCUUAAAGGGCCAGAUCUGCCACCCGGAUUCAGGUUGAGUGGUAUUUAACUAUACAAAGCAGACCUAUUGAAAGUAACAGGACUAUGUGCAAAGUAAGGUGCAACUCACCAUGAUUAAAGAUGGCAGAACUGGGCCCAAAGAAGAUUGGUAAUGCUGCUGUGAAACUUUUAUCCUUAAAAUAAUAGAGAUUAUUCACUGUACUGUGA
Molecule: non-coding RNA, 2264 nt
Organism: Chrysemys picta bellii (western painted turtle)
Lineage: Eukaryota; Metazoa; Chordata; Testudines; Emydidae
Source: RefSeq, a predicted model, not a curated record